UAAAGAUACCCAAAUCCCUCCUUAGUCCUUGACUCCUUCCUACUCUCUCAUUCGAUUGAACCAAAGGAAAAAAAAUCAGACAUUCAUCUUCUUCCUCAAACCCCUCUUUUCCCAAACCCUAAUUCUCUCAUGGUUGAGCAAGAAAUAGAAAUUAGAAAUCAAAAUGUGCUAAUCCUCCCAAAUCUCUUCUCAGAUUCUUUAUGGAAGUCGAAAGAAAAACCAACAAAUUUCGAUUUACCCUUGCCUCUUUUGAAUACGACUAUGGCGACCAAUCUUUGAAGGCUUCCGAACCUCAGCAACUACAGCCUUUGAUUCUUCGUUCUUUUCCGUGAGUGAACACAUCAAUAACAUUACUUUGGGGAUCUUCGUUUCCAAAAUUUUCUUGUGAAAUCUAGCAAUCAAAAGCACAUUUUGGUAUUUAUCAAUCAUCGCUUCACCUCGGAGACAAUAUCAUCAAGGAACCUUUCAUAGUUGAUAGCUGUGCAUCGGGCGCGACUCCUUGAAGCGACAUUGUCGUUUUUUUAGAGAUCGGAACCGGUCGAGAACGAUGGGUUAGCGGUGAUGAUUAGAGUUCUAUGGAUGCUAUGUUGAGCCGAGCACAUGAGAAUUUGGUAGUUUUGUAUUAGUCUUUGGUAAAUUUAUAUUGGACUAGGUUGUAUUGGUUAUGUGGACUUUUAUAGUGACUUUUAUCGUUACUUUGUGUUUUAAUUAGAUGUUUGGGAUUGAGAAUUAGCUGAUACAACUAUGUUAUAGAACUGGUGACCCCUUUGCACAAGUUUUGGAAUUUAGAUUUAAGUUUCUUGAGAAAAUAAACCCUGUAAUGACCCUGUUUACUUAGUCAACGGUUAUAGGAGCUUAAAUCCAAAAGUACUUUGCUAUUUGGUGGAAUUUAUUUUAAAGAUUUGAUACCACUGGUCUUUUGCAAAAGUUCGUGCCUACUAUAUAGAAUAUCCCAAAUAUUUUAUAAUAGUUGUCUUCAAAUUUUGCCACUAGCUUUGUUUUAAUAUUUUUUAAUAUUUAUGGUCUUUAAUUUUUUUCCAUUAAAUUUAUUAUUAUUUAAAAGAUUAAAUUUUCUUAAUACCUGUAAAAUUUCCUAUUAUAAACUUCUUUAAGGGAUGAAAGAAGUAUAAUAUGGUUCCAUGUUGUUAAGCACUAAAGAGUAUCUAAUUAAAUUAACUAGACCAUCAAUUGUUCCACUUCCUUCAUAUCUUUUCAAACGUCCUAUUUGGU
Amaranthus tricolor (Joseph's coat) is the source of this 1230-nucleotide long non-coding RNA. RefSeq lists it as uncharacterized. The record is from RefSeq and is a predicted model, not a curated record. Lineage: Eukaryota; Viridiplantae; Streptophyta; Magnoliopsida; Caryophyllales; Amaranthaceae. The transcript has 3 exons.